UACGUAGGGUGCGAGCGUUGUCCGGAAUUACUGGGCGUAAAGAGCUCGUAGGUGGUUUGUCACGUCGUCUGUGAAAUUCCGGGGCUUAACCUCGGGCGUGCAGGCGAUUCGGGCAAUACUUGAGUGCUGUAGGGGAGACUGGAAUUCCUGGUGUAGCGGUGAAAUGCGCAGAUAUCAGGAGGAACACCAAUGGUGAAGGCAGGUCUCUGGGCAGUUACUGACGCUGAGGAGCGAAAGCAUGGGUAGCGAACAGGAUUAGAUA
This 262-nucleotide ribosomal RNA is filed under the name uncultured prokaryote. RNAcentral's name for it is "partial 16S ribosomal RNA". It matches the Rfam family "Bacterial small subunit ribosomal RNA", at positions 524 to 784 of the family's 1533-position model. The record is from RNAcentral.